AAGCAAGCAUAAUCAUGAUAAUUAUGGGAAUCCACCAAGAAAUUGGAAAGAAGAGCAGAGUUGCGAAGGAAAAAUAAGGAAAAUGGUUACCUAAAUUCUUGCUGUAAUAAUCCCAAGUACCUAGCUUGCAUGUGCUCAGCAUUUGAGCGAAAGGAGGAAGAAGACACCAAUCGCGAGUCUUCUUUUCUCCCGAUACUGGCAGAAAUCGGAGUCUUGGCCUACCAAAAUCAGCCUAGAAAAGCCCUAGAACUAGUUUAUAAAUAGUCGACUCCUUUUCCUUGGAUCUCCAUCACUAUCUUCGUGUGCAAUUGCUGCCGAUCAUCCGAGAUUUCCCUCCAAGUUUUCUCUAGUUCUUUCGGGAAAAGAUUGCCAAUUUCCUUCUUUUUGGUGUUACCGAACCGAGGUAAUCCCUUUCCCUUCUUUAUUCUUUCCUGCUAUCCUCCUCAUUGCCAUUGCUCGGAUUUGGUCUCCAAGCCAUCGGUAUGACUAAGAACAGGGCAUUUCGUGUUUGCCCUUGUGCUUCGUCGACUGACACUGACCACCGCUGUGUCAGGGUCAUUACCAUACAACCAUUGGGAGCCAUUGUAGGUGGCCAGCCUUGGUUUUCCGCCUCCAUGGUUAGGAGAAGAGUGAAGGGGUGGGCAUCCCCUAUUUUGGAAGAAGAGAAGAGAAGAAGAGAGGGUUUUCCUUCUCUCUCUUUC
This 701-nucleotide long non-coding RNA is filed under the name Elaeis guineensis (African oil palm). Its description in RNAcentral is "long non-coding RNA (EGUI_LNC042258)". The record is from RNAcentral. Lineage: Eukaryota; Viridiplantae; Streptophyta; Magnoliopsida; Arecales; Arecaceae.